RNAcentral lists this ribosomal RNA (459 nucleotides) under uncultured bacterium. RNAcentral describes it as "partial 16S ribosomal RNA". It matches the Rfam family "Bacterial small subunit ribosomal RNA", at positions 338 to 795 of the family's 1533-position model. The record is from RNAcentral.
CCUACGGGUGACAGCAGUGAGGAAUAUUGGUCAAUGUACGCAAGUCUGAACCAGCCAUGCAGCGUGCAGGAAGACGGCUCUAUGAGUUGUAAACUGCUUUUGUACGAGGGUAAACGCAGAUACGCGUGUCUUUCUGAAAGUAUCGUACGAAUGAGGAUCGGCUAACUCCGUGCCAGCAGCCGCGGUAAUACGGAGGAUUCAAGCGUUAUCCGGAUUUAUUGGGUUUAAAGGGUGCGUAGGCGGUCGGAUAAGUUAGAGGUGAAAUCCCGAGGCUCAACUUCGGAAUUGCCUCUGAUACUGUUCGGCUAGAGAGGAGUUGCGGUAGGCGGAAUGUAUGGUGUAGCGGUGAAAUGCUUAGAGAUCAUACAGAACACCGAUUGCGAAGGCAGCUUACCAAGCUACUUCUGACGUUGAGGCACGAAAGCGUGGGGAGCAAACAGGAUUAGAUACCCAGUAGUC